This 1889-nucleotide long non-coding RNA is filed under the name Homo sapiens (human). Its description in RNAcentral is "HSALNT0023812". Lineage: Eukaryota; Metazoa; Chordata; Mammalia; Primates; Hominidae. The record is from RNAcentral.
CCACCUCUACUAAAAAUACAAAAACUAGCAGGGUGUAGUGGUGUGCGCCUGUAGUCCCAGCUACUCGGGAGGCUGAGACAAGGGUUCUUAAUCUGGGUUCCAGCAACAUAGUUUUAGAGCAUCCAUAGAUGAAUUUCAGAGGAUCCAUGAAUCUCCUUACAUUAUAUGCAAAAUAUAAUCACAUAUGAUUAUGCAUUAUAUAUAAUUGUGGGUAUAGUCUAUUGAAUGAAGUAUAUUCCUGGGAGGCUGUGGCAAGAGGAUCACUUGAGCUUGGGGGUCUGAGACCAGCCUGGGCAACAUAGCAAGACCUUGUCUCUACAAAAAAGAAAAGAAGGCUGAAGUUUAGCUUAUUAAUUUGAAACCUUCUUUAAAUGCAGGCAUUUAAAGCUAUAAAGUUCUAUCUCAACACAGCUCCACUGCAUCCCAUAUGCUAUUGUAUAUCAACUUUUUCUUUCCAUUCACCCCCAAGUAUUUUCUAAUUUCCCUGUGAUUUCAUCUUUGAUCCACUGGUUACUUAGGAGUACAUUGUUUAACUUCCACCUAUUAGUAAAUUAUACCACUUUCCUUCUAUUGAUUUAUAGUUUCAUUCCAUUGUGGUAAGAGAACACAUUUUGUAUGAUUUCAGUAUUUUUAAGUUUAUUGAGAUGUUUUGUGGUCUGAAAUUUUGCAAAGAAUGUUUCAUGUGCACUUGAGAAAAAUAUGCAUUCUGCUGUUCAGUGGAGUGUUCUGUAUAUAUGUCUGUUAAAUCCAAUUGGUCUACAGAGUGGUUCAAGUUCCUUACUGAUCUUCUGUCAUGGUGUCCUAGCCAUUGGAAGUGGGGUACUGAAAUCUACAAUGAUUACUGUUGAAUUGUCUAUUUCUCUCCACUUAAAUUUUGCUUUAUGUAUUUUGGGGCUCUGUUAGAAAUAUGUGUGUACACGUAUAUACACACGUAUAUAAUUGGUACGUAUUCUUGAUGGGUUGAGUGUUUUAUUGUAUGUUGUUUCUGGCAAAAAAUAAUUUUCUUGAAGUCUAUUUUGUUGGAUAUUAUUCAUAUAACCACUCUAGCUCUCUUUCGGUUAUUGUUUGCAUGGAGUAUCUUUUUCCAUCCUUUUACUUUCAAUCUACUUGUGUGUCUGAAUCUAAAGUAACUCUUAUGUAGACAUAAAGGGACUGAAUUUUCAAAUCUGUUCUGCCAAUCUAAUUUAAAUAUCAUCUUUCUUUGAGACACCUUCAAAAAGCCCCAGCGCACUCAAUGUGUACUUUAAAAAUCACUGAUGUAGGCUGCGCGCAGUGGCUCACGCCUGUAAUCCCAGCACUUUGGGAGGCUGAAGUGAGAGGAUCACUUGAGGUCAGGUGUUUGAGACCAACCUGGCCAACAUGAUGAAAAUGCCAUCUCUACUAAAAAUAGAAAAUUAGCCAGGCAUGGUGGCAUGUGCUUGUAAUCCCAGCUACUCGGGAGGCUGAGGAAGGAAAAUCGCUUGAACCCAGGAAGUGGAGGCUGAAGUGAGCCAAGAUCAUGCCACUGCACUCCAGUCUGGGCAAUAGAGAGAGACUAAGUCUAAAAAAAUAAAAAAAUUCACUGAUGUAAUACAUGCUGGAAAUUAUUUAUGAAAGAACCCAAUAUUCUUUCAGAAUUUUGUCAGUAACUUACCAUGUGACCUAGAACCAGUUUCUUUUUCUAUUAAAGAUGAAAACUGUUACCACACAUGAUGCCAUCAUAGUAAGUAUUUUUAAAAGUGAGACUCAGAGUUGGCGUAACACCCACAGUAUUAGUAUGACAUGAACUGUGGAGAUAUAUCAGUAGCAAUGGCACCAACUCACCUGUAGUGAGUUGACUACAGGUGAGUUGCAAAACCAAAAAACCCACCAUCACUAACACGAACAAACAAAAAAACAGAAUUUACUAG